GCCUCUGUAAUUUAAUGGAUAGAAUAUCGGUUUCCGGAACCGACGAUGUGGGUUCGAUUCCCGCCAGAGGCG
This 72-nucleotide transfer RNA is filed under the name Candidatus Gottesmanbacteria bacterium. Its description in RNAcentral is "tRNA-Arg". It matches the Rfam family "tRNA". From Rfam's summary of the family: Transfer RNA (tRNA) molecules are approximately 80 nucleotides in length. Lineage: Bacteria; Candidatus Gottesmaniibacteriota. The record is from RNAcentral.